RNAcentral lists this transfer RNA (85 nucleotides) under Acidithiobacillales bacterium SM1_46. Its description in RNAcentral is "tRNA-Leu". It matches the Rfam family "tRNA". From Rfam's summary of the family: Transfer RNA (tRNA) molecules are approximately 80 nucleotides in length. Their secondary structure includes four short double-helical elements and three loops (D, anti-codon, and T loops). The record is from RNAcentral. Lineage: Bacteria; Pseudomonadati; Pseudomonadota; Acidithiobacillia; Acidithiobacillales. RNAcentral also lists the same sequence under 7 other names.
GCCGAGGUGGCGGAAUUGGUAGACGCGCUAGAUUCAGGUUCUAGUGGGGCGACCCGUGGAGGUUCAAGUCCUCUCCUCGGUACCA